AGGACGAACGCUGGCGGCGCGCUUAACACAUGCAAGUCGAACGUGAAGCCGGGGCUUGCCCCGGUGGAAAGUGGCGAACGGGUGCGUAACACGUGAGCAACCUGCCCCGAAGACUGGGAUAACACCGGGAAACCGGUGCUAAUACCGGAUACCUUCUUCCGAUCGCAUGGUUGGAUGAAGAAAUGGAUUCCGCUUCGGGAUGGGCUCGCGGCCUAUCAGCUUGUUGGUGAGGUAACGCCCACCAAGGCGACGACGGGUAGCUGGUCUGAGAGGACGACCAGCCACACUGGGGCUGAGACACGGCCCAGACUCCUACGGGAGGCAGCAGUGGGGAAUCUUGCUCAAUGGGCGAAAGCCUGAAGCAGCGACGCCGCGUGCGGGAUGAAGGCCCUCGGGUUGUAAACCGCUUUCAGCAGGGACGAAAUUGACGGUACCUGCAGAAGAAGGCCCGGCCAACUACGUGCCAGCAGCCGC
This 474-nucleotide ribosomal RNA is filed under the name uncultured soil bacterium. RNAcentral's name for it is "bacterial SSU rRNA". It matches the Rfam family "Bacterial small subunit ribosomal RNA", at positions 26 to 518 of the family's 1533-position model. The record is from RNAcentral.